RNAcentral lists this ribosomal RNA (1240 nucleotides) under metagenome. RNAcentral's name for it is "bacterial LSU rRNA". It matches the Rfam family "Bacterial large subunit ribosomal RNA", at positions 1564 to 2815 of the family's 2925-position model. The record is from RNAcentral.
UGAGUACGAGAUGCUACGGCAUCGAAGCAGUCUAUGUCAUACUUCCAAGAAAAGCUUGCACUGUCAGAAACAGAUAAUGCCUGUACCAUAACCGACACAGGUGGGUAGGUAGAGUAUACUAAGGGGCGCGAGAUAACUCUCUCUAAGGAACUCGGCAAAAUGACUCCGUAACUUCGGGAGAAGGAGUGCCUUAUUUUUAAGGUUGCAAUAACAAGAUCCAAGCAACUGUUUACCAAAAACACAGGUCUCCGCUAAGUCGUAAGACGAUGUAUGGGGGCUGACGCCUGCCCAGUGCAGAAGGUUAAAGAAGUCGGUUAGCAUUCGCGAAGCUGGUAACUGAAGCCCUGGUGAACGGCGGCCGUAACGAUAACGGUCCUAAGGUAGCGAAAUUCCUUGUCGGGUAAGUUCCGACCCGCACGAAAGGCGUAAUGAUUUGGAUACUGUCUCGGAGAGGGCUCGGUGAAAUAGACUUGUCUGUGAAGAUGCGGACUACCUGCACCUGGACAGAAAGACCCUAUGAAGCUUUACUGUAACUUGAAAUUGAAAUUGGACUUUAUUUGCGCAGUAUAGGUGGGAGGCGUUGAAAAUAUUCUUGCGGGAAUAUUGGAGCCAUCAGUGAGAUACCACUCUUGUAAUGUUAGAUUUCUAACUUUAUAUCAUUAUCUGGUUAAAGAACAGUUUCAGGCGGGCAGUUUGACUGGGGCGGUCGCCUCCCAAAUGGUAACGGAGGCGCACAAAGGUUUCCUCUGAACGGGUAGAAAUCGUAUCUAGAGUGUAAAGGCAUAAGGAAGCUUGACUGUGAGACCUACAAGUCGAGCAGGGACGAAAGUCGGUCUUAGUGAUCUGACGGUGCUGAGUGGAAAGGCCGUCACUCAACGGAUAAAAGUUACUCUAAGGAUAACAGGCUGAUCUCCCCCAAGAGUUCACAUCGACGGGGAGGUUUGGCACCUCGAUGUCGGCUCAUCGCAUCCUGGGGCGGUAGUACGUCCCAAGGGUUGGGCUGUUCGCCCAUGAAAGCGGUACGCGAGCUGGGUUCAGAACGUCGUGAGACAGUUCGGUCCAUAUCCGGUGUAGGCGUUAGAAUAUUGAGAGGAGCCUUCUUUAGUACGAGAGGACCGAGAAGGACAUACCUCUGGUGUACCAGUUAUCGUGCCAACGGUAAACGCUGGGUAGCUAUGUAUGGAGUGGAUAACCGCUGAAAGCAUCUAAGUGGGAAGCCCACCUCAAGAUAAGUAUUCUC